RNAcentral lists this ribosomal RNA (254 nucleotides) under uncultured bacterium. RNAcentral's name for it is "partial 16S ribosomal RNA". It matches the Rfam family "Bacterial small subunit ribosomal RNA", at positions 524 to 777 of the family's 1533-position model. The record is from RNAcentral.
UACGUAGGGUGCGAGCGUUAAUCGGAAUUACUGGGCGUAAAGCGCGUGUAGGCGGACUGACAAGUCGGAUGUGAAAUCCCUCGGCUCAACCAAGGAAGUGCAUCCGAAACUGCUGAGCUUGAGUACUUAAGAGGAUCGCGGAAUUCCCGGUGUAGAGGUGAAAUUCGUAGAUAUUGGGAAGAACACCUGAGGCGAAGGCGGGAUGCUGGGCCGACACUGACGCUGAGGCGCGAAAGCCAGGGGAGCAAAGCGGG